This 253-nucleotide ribosomal RNA is filed under the name uncultured bacterium. RNAcentral describes it as "partial 16S ribosomal RNA". It matches the Rfam family "Bacterial small subunit ribosomal RNA", at positions 524 to 776 of the family's 1533-position model. The record is from RNAcentral.
UACGUAGGGGGCAAGCGUUGUCCGGAAUCAUUGGGCGUAAAGCGCGUGUAGGCGGCUCGAUAAGUCUGCUGUGAAAGUUCAGGGCUCAACCCUGAAAUGCCGGUGGAAACUGUCGAGCUAGAGUCCGGAAGAGGCGAGUGGAAUUCCUGGUGUAGCGGUGAAAUGCGCAGAUAUCAGGAGGAACACCAAUGGCGAAGGCAGCUCGCUGGGCCUGUACUGACGCUGAGGAGCGAAAGCGUGGGGAGCAAACAGG